RNAcentral lists this ribosomal RNA (447 nucleotides) under uncultured bacterium. Its description in RNAcentral is "partial 16S ribosomal RNA". It matches the Rfam family "Bacterial small subunit ribosomal RNA", at positions 329 to 793 of the family's 1533-position model. The record is from RNAcentral.
GGCCAGACUCCUACGGGAGGCAGCAGUGGGGAAUAUUGCACAAUGGGGGAAACCCUGAUGCAGCGACGCCGCGUGAGCGAUGAAGUAUUUCGGUAUGUAAAGCUCUAUCAGCAGGGAAGAAAAUGACGGUACCUGACUAAGAAGCCCCGGCUAACUACGUGCCAGCAGCCGCGGUAAUACGUAGGGGGCAAGCGUUAUCCGGAUUUACUGGGUGUAAAGGGAGCGUAGGCGGCCUGCCAAGUCUGAUGUGAAAUACCGGGGCUCAACCCCGGGGCUGCAUUGGAAACUGGCAGGCUGGAGUGUCGGAGAGGCAGGCGGAAUUCCUAGUGUAGCGGUGAAAUGCGUAGAUAUCAGGAGGAACACCGGUGGCGAAGGCGGCCUGCUGGACUGCAACUGACGUUGAGGCCCGAAAGCGUGGGGAGCAAACAGGAUUAGAUACCCCGGUAU